AGUUGAUUCUCCUAGCUAAGAGUUGAUUCUCCUAGCUGAGAGUUGGUUCUCCUAGCUGAGAGUUGAUUCUCCUAGCUGAGAGUUGGUUCUCCUAGCUGAGAGUUGAUUCUCCUAGCUGAGAGUUGAUUCUCCUAGCUGAGAGUUGGUUCUCCUAGCUGAGAGUUGGUUAAGGAGUGGACAUGGCAUAUGUCACUCGCCGAUUCUCCUAGCUGGGAGUUGGUUAUGGAGUUGACAUGACAUGUCACUCGCUGAUUCUCCUUGCAGCAAGUAAACUUGAAACAUGAGUACUGUUAUCUUUGUUCACUGGAUUCUGGUAUUAUUGAACCGAGCUGGGGUUUACCCUUACAAAGUAAUAGAGAUACCCCACAUUAAUUGGUCCUUCGAGCCGGAUUCCAAUACAUCGUGACGGGAAGGAGGAGGGAAAAGACACGCCGCAAGUCUGUCGACAGCCGGGAUCAUCAGCCGACCCCGAGAAAGACCCGGGACGCAGAAUUGGUGGCCGGGCCGGUGCUUAUAUGUCCAACCUCCCUCAUCCUCGGCACGAUUGACGGAAUCCAACCGGACCAGUGACCACAGAUAACGGGAUACUCGAGUGCAGACUGGUGACCAGGUCCUCGUGAAGGUGAUUAAGAGGAAGCAUUGGCACUGUCCACGGUGGGACGGUCCCUACACGGUAUUGCUGACAACACCGACUGCACUAAAAAUCGCCGAAAGAACUACGUGGAUACAUCAGAGCCACUGCAAAAAGAUAAUACCUCUCCAACUUAACGACAGAUAAGUGGUGGAAGUCCGGCUACAAAGGGCGGUGUUUCAUUAGGAAAUACUGGUCUCAACCCCGGUGAAGAAAACAACAGAACCACUAUCACAACUAGACUAUGUUGGGAGAGGUGUUGUGUGUAGUGACCCUGCUGGGUCUGACGCUAAUGACUAUAAAGACACUGUAACCAGCUAGUAAUUAUGAAAAACAGGAGGGAAUGUUAGAGUUUAUUGAAGGAUAAAAGUGUUUUCAUAAUGUAUAUACUAUUUUCAUUAAUGUGUUUUCAUUAAUGUAUUCUCAUAAAAUGUGUUCUCAUAAAAUGUGUUAUGUAGCAACAGAGAACAGUCUGUUCUCUGUCAAAUGGCACACAUACACACACACAGAUUCACAUGACUGACAGUCACAAGAUUCACACACUAACAAAUAAGGCGUUUGUCAACACCACAUGAUUGUCUCAUGUUACUGUUUUUUGAAAUAAAAAGACUGCACUGAGAGAGUUGGUGAGAGUUGGUUCUUCUAGCUGAGAGUUGGUUCUCCUAGCUGAGAGUUGGUUAAGGAGUGGACAUGGCAUAUGUCACUCGCCGAUUCUCCUAGCUGGGAGUUGGUUAUGGAGUUGACAUGACAUGUCACUCGCUGAUUCUCCUUGCAGCAAGUAAACU
This is a long non-coding RNA of Gymnodraco acuticeps, 1416 nucleotides long. RefSeq lists it as uncharacterized. The record is from RefSeq and is a predicted model, not a curated record. The transcript has 2 exons. NCBI's taxonomy places the organism in Eukaryota, Metazoa, Chordata, Actinopteri, Perciformes, Bathydraconidae.